Molecule: non-coding RNA, 1569 nt
Organism: Peromyscus maniculatus bairdii (prairie deer mouse)
Lineage: Eukaryota; Metazoa; Chordata; Mammalia; Rodentia; Cricetidae
Source: RefSeq, a predicted model, not a curated record
AGCCUGGGCUUCAGAAAGGCCGUCUACAAACACACCCGCUGUUGUUAAGAUGUUUGGAAUCUGACUAUUCCAUCUCAAGCCCCGUUUCCAGAAGGCUCUUAGGGAUGUCAAGCCAUUCCUUCUGGAUGGAAUUGUGCGCGGGGCUCACACAUGUGGCGGGACUGGCACUCGGGGCUGCUGGUCAUCACCCGGAAAUGAAGGCAAACACUCGUUAAUGCUUAAACCAGCAUUGAUGGGUAGCAGUUUGCUUUGCAGGGGGCCUGUCCAGAGAGCAGGGCGGCACCAUCAGUUCUGUACCGCCGCUAGUGGAAACAGAAUCUCUUCACUCUGCCCAGUCAACAACCCCCGAAUCUCUGCAGAGCAAGUGGGACUUACACUGCAAAAUGCCAGGGUGCCCAACUCAACAGCCUGUUGCCUGAGCAACGGGGCAUCGGCAGCGGGCAUCUCACACCUUGCGAUCUCAGCUCUUUAACAAUGCCGACCUUCAAAACCUGAACAAAGAACUGUCCAGCGAGUCCACUAGGUAUCCACCCCAGAGAACUGAAAGCAAGGACUCAGAUGCACAGAAACGAUCACAAAAGGUGGAUGGCCCCAUGCACAAGUCAUUCCAAAGCAUGCUGGGGUGUGGUGGCCAAGGGCCACGAAGCCAUAAACAAGUCAGAAGGGUGUGCAGGCCUGGCCUGGCCAUCAAAGCCGAGGUGGGCUCCAGAAUGACAGGUUUAUGAAGAAACAAGAAAAGUUUCGCAAAUAACCAAUGUUCCUUUACGGAAACAUCCAGGUCUCUGGCUUUCUGGAAAAACACACUGUGGAAAACUUGACACCUUGCUUCAUUAAGAGGCAAACAGGCAGGAAUCAGAGGAGUCAGGGGUUGGGACGCGGCAGGCCCUCUCUGUGGGGUUUGAGUUAGGUAGGUCUCUUCAAUUAAGUAUCUCUUGAAUGAUGACAGGACUCAGUGGGUAAAGACCAUCCCCUCCAAGACUGGCGGCUUAAGUGUGAUUCCCUAGGACCCAUCUGGUGGAAGAAAAGAACCAGCUCCCUCCCACAGGUUGUCCUCUGACCUCCACAUGAUACACCUAUACACACAUAUACUAAUAAGCAAGCUUUUUUUUGUUUUUAAGUAGGUCUCUCCUUUCAGUUCUGAGGGAUGCAGAGCUACAGCUUGUUUCCACACAGCACCUCAGGGCAAGUGCUGGUAGGUGCAUUUGUUUAGAAGUCCACAUAGCAAUGAAAAAAAAAAAAAACAAAAACAAAAACAAAAAAAGAUGCCCACGCAGGGACCAAGACACCCAGCACUGUCCCGUGAAGGCCCAGGUGAAGUCUCAAGUAGACAGGUAUCAGGCAGGCAGAUACACCAGGAAGGGGACCAGCCCCAGGAGAAGGGACCUCCCAUGCUUCGAGCCAGGAACCUGGACGGGUUUAGCUUGUUUUCAGCAAGAAUUAUGCUUUAGGGAACCAUGUUUGCCAAGCUGAAAGCUGUGACUUUCCUCAGUCCCAGAAGCCCCUGGGGCUCCACAGAAUUUCUAAAUUCCCAGUGUCACCAAAUAAACAUCCUAUGGGUGUCAACCUUAA